This 371-nucleotide unclassified non-coding RNA is filed under the name soil metagenome. Its description in RNAcentral is "partial contains 5.8S ribosomal RNA, internal transcribed spacer 2, and large subunit ribosomal RNA". The stretch from base 1 to 120 matches the Rfam family "5.8S ribosomal RNA", at positions 35 to 154 of the family's 154-position model. The record is from RNAcentral.
GAUGAAGAACGUAGUGAAAUGCGAUAAGUAAUGUGAAUUGCAGAAUUCAGUGAAUCAUCGAAUCUUUGAACGCACAUUGCGCCCCCCGGCAUUCCGGGGAGCAUGCCUGUUCGAGCGUCUCCAGGACGAAUCCUCGCGCGAGUGAACGCGCGGUCGUGGCGGAGGUGGCGUGCCCGAGCAGGGCGGCCACCGCGCUGGAAUCCAUGGGCGGACGCCUGCCGCGUGGCCGAGCGUGAUAUGACGCAUUGGCGCUCGUGCGCGGCGAGGCUGCCAGCCCUGGCCCGUCUGUCGGGCGGGGUAGAUCACCACGUGGGAACUCCUCGAAUCAGGUAGGGAUACCCGCUGAACUUAAGCAUAUCAAAAGCGGAGGA